Long non-coding RNA from Hippocampus comes (tiger tail seahorse), 386 nucleotides. RefSeq lists it as uncharacterized. The transcript is spliced from 2 exons. The record is from RefSeq and is a predicted model, not a curated record. Lineage: Eukaryota; Metazoa; Chordata; Actinopteri; Syngnathiformes; Syngnathidae.
GUUCCCUCUUCGAAACCUGAAAAUGCAACUUGGAAAUACUUUUUACGGGUCCUACUACGGCCACCUGCUCCAGUGCUCCUGUGUCAAGCACUGCAGCAAGAAAUAGCCCUUCAUCGUCCGACUCCCAUGACCAGGAGGACUGACAACCACAAGUCCAAAGCAGGUAUCAUAUUUAGGUGUUUAUUAAUUCGGGGCUUAUUUUGUUCCGAUGCUGGAAACUGUAACAAGUAUGUUAGUUUAUUUGGUUCAUUUUAGCUCAGGCAGCAUUUGAUAGAGCCACUCCAGCAACAACCACAGCAGCAGUGAUCCCUGAUGAUCCCGCACAGUGGCCUGAUGUCCUCAGCAAUUGUGAAAAAUGUUCAUUGGUGAUAAAAGGACAUGUUCAG